AUGGGCUUAGAACCACCAAAAAUGGAUGAAACCCACCAAAACUUGGCUUGAACCCACCCAAACUUGGCCUAAACCCACCCAAAAUUGCUCCAAACCCAACAGAAUGGUCUUGAAACCACCCAAAAUUGGCUUAAAACCACCAAAAAUGGCUCUAAACCCAACAGAAAUUCUUGAAACCAUCAAAAAUUGCCUUGAAACCCCCAAAAAUGGAUGAAACCCACCAAAACUUGGCUUGAACCCACCAAAACUUGGCCUAAACCCAUCCAAAAUUGCUCUAAACCCAACAGAAAGGUCUUGAACCCACCCAAAAUAGGCUUAAAACCACCAAAAAUGGCUCUAAACCCAACAGAACGGUCUUGAAACCACCAAAAAUUGGUUUGAAACCACCAAAAAUGGAUGAAACCCAAGAGAAAGGUCUUGAAACCACCAAAAAUUGGUUUGAAACCACCAAAAAUCGGUGUAAACCCAACAGAAAGGUCUUGAAACCACCAAAAAUCGCCUUGAACCCACCCAAACUUGGCCUAAAGCCACCCAAAAUCGCUCCAAACCCAACAGAAAGGUCCUGAACCCACCCAAAAUUGGCUUAAAACCACCAAAAAUGGAUGAAACCCAAGAGAAAGGUCUUGAAACCACCAAAAAUUGGUUUGAAACCACCAAAAAUCGGUGUAAACCCAACAGAAAGGUCUUGAACCCACCAAAAAUUGGCUUAAAACCACCAAAAAUGGCUCUAAACCCAACAGAAA
Molecule: long non-coding RNA, 743 nt
Organism: Corvus hawaiiensis (hawaiian crow)
Lineage: Eukaryota; Metazoa; Chordata; Aves; Passeriformes; Corvidae
Exons: 3
Source: RefSeq, a predicted model, not a curated record